UUUGAUGGCGACCGGCGCACGGGUGAGUAACACGUAUCCAACCUGCCGAUGACUCGGGGAUAGCCUUUCGAAAGAAAGAUUAAUACCCGAUGGCAUAGUUCUUCCGCAUGGUGGAACUAUUAAAGAAUUUCGGUCAUCGAUGGGGAUGCGUUCCAUUAGGUUGUUGGCGGGGUAACGGCCCGCCAAGCCUUCGAUGGAUAGGGGUUCUGAGAGGAAGGUCCCCCACAUUGGAACUGAGACACGGUCCAAACUCCUACGGGAGGCAGCAUG
This 270-nucleotide ribosomal RNA is filed under the name uncultured bacterium. Its description in RNAcentral is "partial 16S ribosomal RNA". It matches the Rfam family "Bacterial small subunit ribosomal RNA", at positions 84 to 353 of the family's 1533-position model. The record is from RNAcentral.